AGCAUCAUAGUCUGAGACCCCGAAACUAGACGAGCUACUCCGAAGCAGUCUAAAAGGACUAACCCGUCUCUGUGGCAAAAGAGUGGGAAGACUUCCGAGUAGAGGUGAAAAGCCUACCGAGCCUAGUUAUAGCUGGUUGCUUAAGAAAAGAAUAUGAGUUCAGCCUUAUAAGUUUCUCAAAAAUCAAAAUGAAAGAAUAAAGUAACACAUAAGAGUUAGUCGAAGGGGGUACAGCUCCUUCGAAAAAGAACACAACCUUACCCAGGUAAAUAAGGAUUAUACUAAAAAAGGACAUGACUUUCAACAGUGGGCCCGAAAGCAGCCACCUCUAAUAGAAAGCGUUAAAGCUCAAGAACAGCCACACCAAAAAUAAAAAUAACCACUCCUAAUUUCCUAAUAAUAUUAAGCUACCCUAUUUUAUAGGAGAAAUUAUGCUAAAAUGAGUAAUAAGAGAAACUAGACCCUCUCCGGGCACACGUGUAAAUUAGAGCGGACAAACCACUGACAACUAACGGACCCAAAAAAGAGGGUAAAACAACAAAACUCAAUAAACAAGAAAAACCUAUUAAAACAACCGUUAACCCAACACAGGAGUGCCACUUAAGGAAAGACUAAAAGGGGAAGAAGGAACUCGGCAAACACAAACCUCGCCUGUUUACCAAAAACACCGCCUCCUGCAAAUAGAAUGUAUUGGAGGUCCUGCCUGCCCAGUGACAAUAGGUUCAACGGCCGCGGUAUUUUGACCGUGCAAAGGUAGCGUAAUCACCUGUCUUUUAAAUAAAGACCUGUAUGAAUGGCAAGACGAGGGUUUUACUGUCUCCUCCCCCCAGUCAAUGAAAUUGAUCUACCCGUGCAGAAGCGGGUAUAAAAACAUAAGACGAGAAGACCCUAUGGAGCUUUAGGCACACAUCAAAUAUGUAAAAAACCAAAUCUUCCAAAUAGGCCUAAAAAAUGAGAAAAACAAGUAUUAAUGAUUAAUUGCCUUCGGUUGGGGCGACCACGGGGAAAAAUAAAACCCCCACAUGGAAUGGGUAAAAUUAUCCUAAGCCAAGAAAAACAAUUCUAAGCAACAAAAUUUUUGACCAAUAAACGACCCAGGGACAACAUCCCUGAGCAAUGAACCAAGUUACCCUAGGGAUAACAGCGCAAUCCUUUCCCAGAGCCCAUAUCAACGAAAGGGUUUCUCGAUGUUGGAUCAGGGCAUCCUAACGGUGCAGCCGCUGUUAAGGGUUC
RNAcentral lists this ribosomal RNA (1233 nucleotides) under Conger myriaster (whitespotted conger). RNAcentral's name for it is "partial 16S ribosomal RNA". It matches the Rfam family "Bacterial large subunit ribosomal RNA", at positions 696 to 2574 of the family's 2925-position model. The record is from RNAcentral. Lineage: Eukaryota; Metazoa; Chordata; Actinopteri; Anguilliformes; Congridae.